GAAAGCAAACAUUCACAAGGGGUUAAUGUUUUUGAACACCCCAUUUUUUAUGAUAUUUGAUAUAAACGAAGCCUAAAAAUCUAUUGUACAUUACAAAAUGUACCAAAAGCUACUAAAUAGGACUGGUGAAUGUUUGAUUAUAUCACGUUUCAUCAAUGUUGCAAACAUUAGGAAGAAGUUUAGCAAAAUGUUCCAUAAUUCCUGGGAGACUAGUCAUUUUGGUGAGAGUUUUUGCUGACAGGUGUGAGAGGAGACGGCCCAGAGUCAAAAACAUUAG
Oreochromis aureus is the source of this 277-nucleotide long non-coding RNA. The record is from Ensembl. NCBI's taxonomy places the organism in Eukaryota, Metazoa, Chordata, Actinopteri, Cichliformes, Cichlidae.